CUUUCCCUAGUACGAGAGGACCGGGAAGGACGCACCUCCGGUGUACCAGUUAUCGUGCCUAUGGUAAACGCUGGGUAGCCAAGUGCGA
Molecule: non-coding RNA, 88 nt
Organism: Triticum urartu
Lineage: Eukaryota; Viridiplantae; Streptophyta; Magnoliopsida; Poales; Poaceae
Source: Rfam